AGAUUGCAUUUUCUUUUCUGAGUUGGCAGAAGUGUCUACUUAUGCAAAUUAAAACCCUUCCCAUUGCCUCUUAUGGGUGCAGAUACAUUCAGGUGCUUGUUAGUACUGCUCAAGUUGGAGAAGCCCUCAUCCUUGGGAUGUUGAACUGGCAGGGAGCAUAAUGCCUGCUAAUAUUGCCUCUGAGGCUAUAUGACACUGGUUCCCUGUAUUUUUAAUCCUGUUACCUGAAGAGACCAGAGAGUGCUGUCUUUCCUGAAGGCCACUGAGCACCACCACUCUGGGAAAUGACAGAAGGCUGAAUGUUUUGGCAAUCAAAUUUGGGAAGCAGUUUCUGCAAGAGGUCGGUGCUGCCUGAGUUCCCCCAGCAGAAGACACUUUAUCCCAUUACGAACAAACGGCAUUACUUACUGAAGGAGUUGAAUGCUGUGGUAUUUCCCAGUGUGCCACAUGGCUGCAGAAAUGAAAAUAUCACCUCUUCUAAAAUUUGCUUUAAAAAUGAAUGCACAAACUGCAAUCAAAAUAGAAUCAAAGGAAAAAAGCAAACAAACACAACGAGCUUGAUGAAUAUGGAAAAGGGAGAAAUGAAGGAGGUGGUGAAAAGAAAC
This is a long non-coding RNA of Gallus gallus (chicken), 605 nucleotides long. NCBI's taxonomy places the organism in Eukaryota, Metazoa, Chordata, Aves, Galliformes, Phasianidae. The record is from Ensembl.